AUGUCAUCGCCGAGCGCAAGCGGCGGGAGAAGCUGCAGCGGCAGUUCGUGUCCUGGCCACCAUUGUCCCAAGCGUCAGGAAGUGCAUUCAAAUCAAUCUUCUCACCCAGUCGCAAAAAAAAUCAAUCUUCUCACUCCCGCAUGUGGACAAGAUCACUUUGCUUGGGAGCACCAUCGAGUACGUGAAGUAGCUGGAGGAAAAGGUGAAGGCCCUGGGAGAGCAAGGCCUGCUAAAGUCGCGAGAGUGCACCUUGUUCGAGAGCAAGUGCAGCAUAUCCGCCGCCGAUAA
RNAcentral lists this ribosomal RNA (288 nucleotides) under Triticum aestivum (bread wheat). RNAcentral describes it as "partial small subunit ribosomal RNA". Lineage: Eukaryota; Viridiplantae; Streptophyta; Magnoliopsida; Poales; Poaceae. The record is from RNAcentral.